CCUACGGGGGGCUGCAGUGGGGAAUAUUGGACAAUGGGGGGAACCCUGAUCCAGCCAUGCCGCGUGUGUGAAGAAGGCCCUCGGGUUGUAAAGCACUUUCAGUGAGGAAGAACGCCUGGUGGUUAAUACCCAUCAGGAAAGACAUCACUCACAGAAGAAGCACCGGCUAACUCCGUGCUAGCAGCCGCGGUAAUACGGAGGGUGCGAGCGUUAAUCGGAAUUACUGGGCGUAAAGCGCGCGUAGGUGGCUUGAUAAGCCGGUUGUGAAAGCCCCGGGCUCAACCUGGGAACGGCAUCCGGAACUGUCAAGCUAGAGUGCAGGAGAGGAAGGUAGAAUUCCCGGUGUAGCGGUGAAAUGCGUAGAGAUCGGGAGGAAUACCAGUGGCGAAGGCGGCCUUCUGGACUGACACUGACACUGAGGUGCGAAAGCGUGGGUAGCAAACAGGAUUAGAUACCCUAGUAGUC
Molecule: ribosomal RNA, 465 nt
Filed under: Vreelandella stevensii
Lineage: Bacteria; Pseudomonadati; Pseudomonadota; Gammaproteobacteria; Oceanospirillales; Halomonadaceae
Description: partial 16S ribosomal RNA
Rfam family: Bacterial small subunit ribosomal RNA
Source: RNAcentral